AUCACGUGCCUCUGCUCGUUGCGGCGGAGCAGCGCGCUGCGCUCAGCUCUUCUCCCUUCUUGCUUCUCCCGACGGCUGCAAUGAAUCCGUUCUUCCUUUCAGGAGCGCUGCGUGCUGGAACAAAGUUCGUCUCGUUCCUCCGGACGCUUUGGUCUCUCAUCGUGUUCAUCGUUUGCAGUUUGGGAGUUGUAGGGAUAUGGAACCAGUUCCUGGCACUGCUGGAGAUCUCUGCCUGGCAGCCGUCCCUCCCGCUGCGAGCAGCCGAUCUCACACGCAGCUCCGUGCUCAGGCCGCUUUCCGGGUUCUCUGCUCAGUUCUUUACGCCCGUUUGGAAUGCCGAAUCGGGGAUCGCGUUGUCCAUCCUCCUGAAUGUCUUCCUCUCCAUCCUUCUCAUCUACUUCGUGUGCAAGAAGUCUUCUCCUAAAGCAGAGAAUGCUGAGCGGCAGCAAGAAUGGGGAGGCUUAGGACAGGACUUGGGGGCGUCGGGACCCCCGGUGUCAUCGCAUGUGGAACAGAGGGGAGAAGAAGAAGAAGUGGAAGAAGUGGAGGAAGAUGCAGGGCAGGGACCGUCCCCAACAGCACCGCCAUCGAGAGCAGCAGCGGAAAGAGCUGAGAGCCACGGAGAGGAGAGUGAGGAGGAGGAAUUUGCUGUUAGCACUGCUCGCCCAGCUCGGGAGGUGACUGAAUUCCACCGCUCAAGAGAGGAGUUUGUACGGCACCCAAACGAAGCUGUUGUCACCUGGCUGCUUCGCUGUUGGGACAGCGGGGCCAGCAGUGUGCUUCUAGAUGGAAACGGGGCUCGCCAGCUGGGCAGCAUUGCCGGAGACUCAGCUAUUGACAGAGGGAUCAGUAGAUGUCUGCGCGGAGUCACCACCCUCUGGGAACGAAUGUUAUUGGCCGUGAAGGAAAGGCAUCCCUUCAAAGAUGAUCUGGAGCCUGAAGUGAAAAGGUGGAAGACUCUUAAAGAAGGUAUCCAGUAUUUGAGAGAGACGGCCGUGGCGGAGAUGUUGUGUGACCCCAUGUUCAUCCCCAAUGAUCCACGCCCGAACCGCCGUGAUCCUGAGAAUGUGAGGAUCACGUCAGAUGUUGUGUGGAAUCUCACAAGAACAGCACCAGAAAGGUACCUGGGUGUGCUGGCAUCGAUGUCCCAUAGGUACGAGAAGCAACAGAGGAGGCCCCCCGUGUUUGAACUGAUUAUUAGACUUCAGAUCUUUGAACAACAACUACUUCUAUUCCACGGUUACGUUUCAGCCACCUCAGAAAUAACAGAAAGAAUGGAUAAAGCAGAGAAGAGGAUGGAUAAGAUGGCAGGUAAAAAGGAGAGGAAACAGGGCGGCAUGCCAGAGGAAGCGUCCCUGUCAGUGAAUCGUGGUGAACCCGUGGCAGGGUCAGAAACAGCCAGCGAAGAUCAGGACCUAACGAGUCUGCUGAAGGAGCUGAUCACACUGAUUAAAGGUGAUGAACCCUCCUCCUCACCUGCGCCACCCAAAAUCUCAGCUAUCAAUGGCAAACGCUCUCCCACGCAAGCAAACGACAGCAGUAGAUGUAUGGCACGUGCUGCCUUGUGGAGUUACUUACGUGAGCAUGGAGAAGACAUGAAGGAGUGGCGUAAAAAACCCACGGCUGCGCUCCGAGCUCGGGUGAGAGAAUUACAGCAGAGAUCAACCAGCAUGCAACUGCUCCACUUACUGCAGGUAAGCAAUGGGGGGCCCUGCCCUCAGGUGGGGGGAAGGGAUGAUUUGUACCUCGUUGGGCCCGUGGGACCUCAGGCCAUCAGGGAGGGGAUGCAGCAUAGAAGUGGGCUGCAGACCGAGGGGUGGACUGAACUACGGACACUAUUGCACAGCUGAUUCGUGGCCAUGACACACGUGCUGCAAUUCAACAAGGCAAGAGGACAAAACCUCUGAUGGGGGAAGGCAAUGGCAAAAUAUGAAUAUGGGGAGGCGUGGCAGGUUGACGCCAUCACCUUGUCACGAACCCAUAAAGGUAAGCGUUUUGUGCUCACCGUGGUGGAGGCAACCACUGGUGCUGUGAAACGUCUGCAGUACCCCAUGCUGGCGCCCGAAACACCAAGUGGGGUCUGGAGAAACAAGUGCUGUGGUGACGUGGCAGUGCAGGGAGAAUGGAGUCAGAUAACGGGGCUCAUUUCAAACAUUCCCUUGUGGAUAUUUGUGCCAAAGACGAUGGCGCUGAGUGCAUUUAUCACAUCCCCUGUCAUGCACAGCUUCUGGUAAGAUCAGACGCUGCGAUGGGUUGUUCAAAACCACGUUGAAAGCAGCGGGUGGUGGAACAUUGCAGCUCUGGGAGAAGCAUUUGGCAGAAGCCCCCUGGUUGGUCAAUACCAGAGGAUCUAUCGAUCGUGCUGGCCCUAGCCCAUGCAGCUCCCUGCAUGCUGCACGGGGAGAUGAGGUCCCUGCAGUGCAUGUAAAGAACGCGCUGGACAAAGCGGCUUGGGGCCUUCCAGCCUCCGGAAAGGGCAGAGCUGUCCGUGGGGCUGUUUGUGCUCAGGGUGCAGCUGUGUGUGACGGGAAUGGGGCUGUGCAGUGCGCACCAAGGGAAUGCGCUGCUGAAAGGGGCAGCGCGGCCAGGAUCCCACGUCUGCGUGUGCGUUUAACGCGAGUUAAUUGUCGUUUGUCAACAUGAGGCGGUGCUGUGGGAUCAGGGCUGCAAUGUGACGGCUCUGCGAUGUUCGUUAUCAGGGCUCCACAUCACAGCGCCGUGCAGCGCAGCGGCAGUGAAGGAGUUCGGGCCGCAGUUCCGGCACGGCGGAUAUUUGCGGCUCUGCGGGGCGCAGAGGAGCCGAACUGCAGCUCCCAGCGCCGGCCCCGCUGCAGUGCUCCGCCCGGAGGGAAGGCGGCGCGGCUCCGAGUCACGUGACGGCGCGGUUCCGAGUCACGUGACGGCGCUGUCUGCCGCCGCUCCGCCGGCUCCGGGCGCUCGUUGAUUUCAUUCAUUAGCCGCAAUCCCAACUCACUUCUGUUUCUGCUAUUAGCACCCGAUAAUUAACUUUCCUUCUGAGAUGGUGGACCCUGGUUUUCGUUUCCUUCUUUUCCUCUUUGUUCCCUCCCUGGUUUUGGCCCUGAGGCUCUGCUGUCCCGGUGCCGCAGUCCCAGACGGAUCCAGAGAUGACUCGGCGACGGUCAGUGCUGGCCCAGGGGCUGCAUGCAUCCUGGGUAUGGAUUACCUCGGGAGGGUGAAAGAGUUUGAUUCCGCACAUCAAGGGGGCAUUUCAAGGAUCCCAAGGGGUAUCGAUGGGCCUUUGGAGGAGCUGCUGCAGACGCACACAAGGUGAAGCAGCUGUCUGUUCUGCCUGGCCUGUCAGAAGAUCCGUCUGCUGUGGGGUUGCUAUGGGUAAAAGAGCAGCAGGUGCCGACUGCCACAAAAACGGUGCGCAGACGGCAGCACCGCACCAACAGGGACUCCUUGCUCCCCGUUCCUGAGUUGAUUCGUCAGCUAGAGAGUCAGGGAGUGAUCAGCAAAACCCUCUCACCUUUAACAGCCCCAUACGGCCGGUGCAUAAAGCCAGUGGAGAAUGGAGGCUGACGGUAGACUGCCAUGGCCUGAAUGAAUCACAGAACUGCUGCGUUUGGAAAAGACCCCCAGGAUAAUGAAGUCCAACCCCAACCCAACCAUCCUACCCCAACUCUAACAUUCUCCACUAAAUCAUGUCCCUGAGCACCACAUCCAAACGGGUUUUAAACACAUCCAGGGAUGGUGGCUCAACCACCUCCCUGGCAGCCCAUCCCACUGCUUAACAGCCCUUUCCGUAAAGAAGUUUUUCCUGAGAUCCAACCUAAACCUCCCCUGGCACAACCUGAGGCCAUUUCCCCUCGUCCUGUCAGCAGUGAGAACAGAGCAGCCCCGUCAUC
Lagopus muta (rock ptarmigan) is the source of this 3869-nucleotide RNA transcript. RefSeq lists it as uncharacterized. Lineage: Eukaryota; Metazoa; Chordata; Aves; Galliformes; Phasianidae. The transcript has 2 exons. The record is from RefSeq and is a predicted model, not a curated record.